RNAcentral lists this ribosomal RNA (905 nucleotides) under uncultured bacterium. RNAcentral's name for it is "bacterial SSU rRNA". It matches the Rfam family "Bacterial small subunit ribosomal RNA", at positions 21 to 906 of the family's 1533-position model. The record is from RNAcentral.
GGCUCAGAACGAACGCGGGCGGCGUGCCUAACACAUGCAAGUCGAACGUGAAAGCCCUUCGGGGUGAGUAAAGUGGCGCACGGGUGAGUAACACGUAGGUGACCUGCCUUUCAGAGCAGAAUAACCAGAAGAAAUUUUGGCUAAUACUGCAUACGAAGUACAAAUUUUAAAGUAGUACUUGAAAGAAUGCCUCUGUAUAUGCAUUCACUGUUAGAUGGGCCUGCGGUACAUUAGCUAGUUGGUGGGGUAACUGCCUACCAAGGCAACGAUGUAUAUCCGGUCUGAGAGGAUGAUCGGACACACUGGAACUGAGAUACGGUCCAGACUCCUACGGGAGGCAGCAGUGGGGAAUAUUGCGCAAUGGGGGAAACCCUGACGCAGCAACGCCGCGUGAGUGAGGAAGGACUUCGGUCUGUAAAGCUCUGUUAAUGUGGAAAAAUGGUUAGUGGUCUAAUAGGCCAUUAAUUUGAUGGUACACAUAGAGGAAGCACCGGCUAACUUCGUGCCAGCAGCCGCGGUAAUACGAAGGGUGCAAGCGUUGUUCGGAUUUAUUGGGCGUAAAGCGCGCGUAGGCGGACCUUUAAGUCAGAUGUGAAAUCUCGGGGCUCAACCUCGAAACUGCGUCUGAAACUGGGGGUCUAGAAUCUUGGAGGGGGAAGGGGAAUUUCUCAUGUAGGGGUAAAAUCCGUAGAUAUGAGAAGGAACACCAGAGGCGAAGGCGCCUUCCUGGACAAGUAUUGACGCUGAGGCGCGAAAGCGUGGGGAUCAAACAGGAUUAGAUACCCUGGUAGUCCACGCUGUAAACGAUGAAUACUAGAUAUUGGGGGAUUUGACCCCUUCAGUGUCGAAGCUAACGCGUUAAGUAUUCCGCCUGGGAAGUACGGUCGCAAGACUAAAACUCAAAG